Molecule: transfer RNA, 81 nt
Filed under: Elusimicrobiota bacterium
Lineage: Bacteria; Pseudomonadati; Elusimicrobiota
Description: tRNA-Leu
Rfam family: tRNA
About the family: Transfer RNA (tRNA) molecules are approximately 80 nucleotides in length. Their secondary structure includes four short double-helical elements and three loops (D, anti-codon, and T loops).
Source: RNAcentral
GGGCGAGUGGCGGAACGGCAGACGCGCACGGCUUAGGACCGUGUGCCGAAAGGCGUGGGGGUUCGAGUCCCCCCUCGCCCA